CAGUCGCCGCGGGAAUACGAAGGGUGCAAGCGUUACUCGGAAUUACUGGGCGUAAAGCGUGCGUAGGCGGUGGUUUAAGUCCGUUGUGAAAGCCCUGGGCUCAACCUGGGAAUUGCAGUGGAUACUGGAUCACUAGAGUGUGGUAGAGGAUAGUGGAAUUUCCGGUGUAGCAGUGAAAUGCGUAGAGAUCGGAAGGAACAUCUGUGGCGAAGGCGACUAUCUGGGCCAACACUGACACUGAGGCACGAAAGCGUGGGGAGCAAACAGGAUUAGAUACCCCGGUAGUCCCUGUCUCUUAUAC
This 301-nucleotide ribosomal RNA is filed under the name uncultured bacterium. RNAcentral describes it as "partial 16S ribosomal RNA". It matches the Rfam family "Bacterial small subunit ribosomal RNA", at positions 509 to 807 of the family's 1533-position model. The record is from RNAcentral.